Molecule: ribosomal RNA, 85 nt
Filed under: Salmonella enterica subsp. enterica serovar Infantis
Lineage: Bacteria; Pseudomonadati; Pseudomonadota; Gammaproteobacteria; Enterobacterales; Enterobacteriaceae
Also listed under: 10 other names
Description: partial 16S ribosomal RNA
Rfam family: Bacterial small subunit ribosomal RNA
Source: RNAcentral
UUAAAUUGAAGAGUUUGAUCAUGGCUCAGAUUGAACGCUGGCGGCAGGCCUAACACAUGCAAGUCGAACGGUAGCACAGAGAGCU